CUGAGUUUCUUCACCGACCGUCAUCGUUGAAAUAUGCUGACUGAUAAGUCGUCCGAAUGAAGAUUUGCCUCUCAGGCCCGAACGUUCUACCGGUACCAUCGGCAUCUCGAUGCUGCAAACCCUCUCCGCAAUUGCAACUGAAGAAUCUAGUAGGAUUUGCAAGGAUGACACAACCUUGUCCGCAAUUGCAUUCGAAGAUUCUCGUUUGAUUUCCAAGAAGAAGGCUUUCAGUUGUCCAGGCCAGGCCAGGUGACCAAUGACGAUGAUAGAUCGGGUUCGAUUCAAGCUAUACGCUUGGUGUAUUUGGUUAUCGUGACUGGCGACUUGAGUCUAACUCAUCUCUCGUCCAAAGCGCGGUGGCUGGGUCCCAGGCAUGCUUGCCACUUUGUUCCACGGUCCUCAUCUAAGUUUCGACGGUGAUGACAUGGACUUAGGUUCAAGGAACGUGAUCCCCUUGAGUCAUUGUGGUUGAUUGAUGGGGGCAAUAGACGGUGGCGUGUCGCUAGUCAUUCAAUUGGUCCCCUUGUUUUAGAGUGUUGGCGGGAUAAGUCUUACGACUGUUAACAAUAGUAAGCAAUAGCCGGCCGGUGACCCCCUACCUGAUCUCGAGGGGGAUGGAAUGACUGGGGAAUAGGCCUGUUGUUAACCUGCGGAAUUUCGUCGGACGAAAUGUCAGGCGUGUCCGUGUGGGACUUGUGCUAAACCAGUUUAGUACAUAUGACGAAGACAUUGGGCUCUUUGAAUAACAACAGUGUCCUUGACCUCCUUGUGCCUCACAAAGCUAAUAAUAUACACCCCCUGAAAUCGACAAGAUGGCGAUGAAGAAGGAGAGCCGGCCUCCAGCUUGUCAGCCGAGAAGACACUGGAUGGACCACAAGGAUAUGUUGCUGCCAAUGUUGGAGCCAUACAGGGCAGCCCGAGCCAACAUUGUACAAGGGCCACAAGGACAAGUGCCACAAGGACAAGUGCCACAAGGACAAGGGACACAAGGACAAGGGACACAAGGACAAGGGACACAAGGAAAAGGGACACAAGGAAAAGGGACACAAAAGACGAUGUUGCAGUCUACAGGGCUAUGCAGAUGACUGGAGAUGAUGGCUGUUGAGUUGACCCAAUGACUUCCACCACGAUCUACGAUGCGUACUGAAGCAAGAACGACUCUCAAAGACCCAGAAAGCAACAGAUGCCAACACUUCGCCCCAUGAUAAGAUACCUUUAUACCCAUCCAUCGACAAUUUGGGGAAGACGGCCUUAUUGACCUCCAUGGGGAUCUUCCUGGCAGAUGUUGUAUGAGGAAGGAUUCAAAGCGUAUACACCAUGCUUGGAUGAGGGCCUGAGAGUCGUGUAGAUUCAAUGGAUGGAAUCGUCUCGCUCAGGGAUAUCGGCGGUGGACACUUACAUCGUGUGUCAUUCGAAUAGACUUUAAUGACAAUCGAAAUGAUGCUCUAAGGGGACUCUGAUGACUCUAAGGACAUAGAGCCCUUCUCGUUAUGUAAUGUGAUGCCAUAUCCAGCAGCCACCAUGGAGCCAGCUCAUCUGUUACAUAUGGAAGGAUGCCAUCUCAUACGGAGAUGAGCCAUCCUACAGAAGGGAGGAGGAUGUUGCUGAGCCAGCGCAUCUCUAGCUCCCGUCGCCGUCAAGGAGGUUGGAUUUUUGUCACCGUAGGCCUUACCCUUUUAUUGCAAUAUCUGAUUGAAAGGUGAUUUGAUAAAAAUCCUGAUAUUCUAUUUUCCGAUUGCUAGAGGGCAAUUAUUUGCCUUCUUUCGGGCAAUGACAAACUCUAGCCAUGGCUCAAAACCGUACACAUUUAAAGACGAUUUUAAAAAUUGGGGGAGGGUAGAAUAAGGUAACCAGGGGAACCAGGGCAUGUCACAAGCCCAGAAAUUAUUUUCAAGCAAGAUUAAUAAGAAAAAUUAAAAUGUGGAGGGGAUAUUCUGGCUAACAGGACAGCCAACAGGGUAAGUUGGUACCCAAACAAAACAUUCGCAAUAGCCUUGGGUACAGUGGGACCCUACCGGCUGCUUCAGAUUUGUUUCAAGCGAAAAAUAUCUUUCACCGAAUCAUCAGAUAUUGUAUUUGGUUAUGUCCAUCACAUGAGACAUGGGGUUCACAUGACAUUCGCUUUGCUCUAACCCCAGGCAAAGCGAAUGAACAUGUGUGUCUUGAUGGAACUGUAGGCCUUUUUACUGUUUCUUGAUCUCCUCAGUACCACAGAAUCCACCAGCAUUUAAACACCACCUGGGCCCAGGCGCCAAAGAUCCUUCGUAAUAUUGGCUGGCUCAGUUGCUCAGUGUCUUUACCUUCAUACUUGAGACAACUGACCAACAACACAAAUCUAGUGAAUUUUUAUUUCCUCGUCACUUUUUAAUCAAUACCCGUGAACAAAAAAAUCACUGGAUGGAAAACAUCUUUUCACCAAUUUAACUGAUAUUUGAUAAGCUUUGUCAAUAAAACUAUUGUUUUAAAAUAGUCGAUGUUAAAAUAUUAAGAUAUUAAACUAUUAAAAUAGAAAUGUGUCAAUAAAACUAUUGUUUUAUUGAAACUUAUCAGAAUAAGACUGGUUCUUGAUCCUACCUAUAGCGGUCUCACAGGAAAGAAUCUUAGUCUUUUUCUUUGUUUCGAUUCAAGAAGGCUUUCAUUGCAAGAGCAUAAUUAUCAUGUUCUGCUGGCUAUGAAAUUGAAAGAUAUCAAUUUGCCCAUCAAGAAAAUUUGUAUUGGACUUGGUACUGAAUGAUUUGAGAAAAGUGUAACGUCAAUAUAUUUGUAAGACGUUUUAUGUUGUCAUGUAUGUAAUUAUAUUUGUAAUGCAUGUAAAUCUUGUAAGUAAAAUAAAAGAGAUCUAAGACUCAACUUGCAAAAAACCUGGCAGACCAACAUCCAGUCUUGCUAGGUCAAGCUACCUCUUUUGUCAUGCAAAUACAUGUCACCUCUGCUCCUUUCAUCAUGCUAAUUGGCAGCCUCUGUCCAGUUCCUGGCCAUGAGAAAUGUGGUUCUUUUGUUAUUCAAAUUGGGCCCUUAACCCAUGUAGUCAUCAUGGAUUAAUGAGAGCAGUGACCUAACCUAUUGUUCGCUGAAUAUGGCUCAACUUAAGUCAUACACAAUAGGUUUUAAUACAUUUACAAUAGCUAAAACUUGUAUAGAAUGUAUACGAACAUGAUGAAUGCUUGCAGAGGUUGGAAUUGUUGAGUCAUCUAGUGUAAGAUCUCUAUUCAGCAGUGUCUUUUUUGGACAUUUUAAAGGAGGAGAACAUGUGUGAUAGUACAAUUAUCUCAAUGUCUCGUCCUUUAAUGGGCAUUGGAGCUGCACAGUGACUAUGAUCGAUGUAAUGUACAUGUAUGAAGUCAUUAUAGUCGUAAGCGCUGUGCUUGUCAUCUGUGUGAUGGAGUUGACGACUCCCUCCGAUUGCGUAGGUUUUCUCCCGUUGAAACGGUUUUCCUCCUACACUGACUUUCCAAGUUGCCAUGUGAGGAUAAUUCUUGGAAUAUG
Lineus longissimus is the source of this 3486-nucleotide long non-coding RNA. RefSeq lists it as uncharacterized. The record is from RefSeq and is a predicted model, not a curated record. The transcript is spliced from 8 exons. Lineage: Eukaryota; Metazoa; Nemertea; Pilidiophora; Heteronemertea; Lineidae.